CAUGCCUUUCACCUGAGCAG
RNAcentral lists this unclassified non-coding RNA (20 nucleotides) under Mus musculus (house mouse). Its description in RNAcentral is "oocyte_clustered_small_RNA852". Lineage: Eukaryota; Metazoa; Chordata; Mammalia; Rodentia; Muridae. The record is from RNAcentral.